This 978-nucleotide ribosomal RNA is filed under the name Escherichia coli. RNAcentral describes it as "partial 23S ribosomal RNA". It matches the Rfam family "Bacterial large subunit ribosomal RNA", at positions 418 to 1393 of the family's 2925-position model. Lineage: Bacteria; Pseudomonadati; Pseudomonadota; Gammaproteobacteria; Enterobacterales; Enterobacteriaceae. The record is from RNAcentral.
CGGGACACGUGGUAUCCUGUCUGAAUAUGGGGGGACCAUCCUCCAAGGCUAAAUACUCCUGACUGACCGAUAGUGAACCAGUACCGUGAGGGAAAGGCGAAAAGAACCCCGGCGAGGGGAGUGAAAAAGAACCUGAAACCGUGUACGUACAAGCAGUGGGAGCACAGAGCAAUCUGUGUGACUGCGUACCUUUUGUAUAAUGGGUCAGCGACUUAUAUUCUGUAGCAAGGUUAACCGAAUAGGGGAGCCGAAGGGAAACCGAGUCUUAACUGGGCGUUAAGUUGCAGGGUAUAGACCCGAAACCCGGUGAUCUAGCCAUGGGCAGGUUGAAGGUUGGGUAACACUAACUGGAGGACCGAACCGACUAAUGUUGAAAAAUUAGCGGAUGACUUGUGGCUGGGGGUGAAAGGCCAAUCAAACCGGGAGAUAGCUGGUUCUCCCCGAAAGCUAUUUAGGUAGCGCCUCGUGAAUUCAUCUCCGGGGGUAGAGCACUGUUUCGGCAAGGGGGUCAUCCCGACUUACCAACCCGAUGCAAACUACGAAUACCGGAGAAUGUUAUCACGGGAGACACACGGCGGGUGCUAACGUCCGUCGUGAAGAGGGAAACAACCCAGACCGCCAGCUAAGGUCCCAAAGUCAUGGUUAAGUGGGAAACGAUGUGGGAAGGCCCAGACAGCCAGGAUGUUGGCUUAGAAGCAGCCAUCAUUUAAAGAAAGCGUAAUAGCUCACUGGUCGAGUCGGCCUGCGCGGAAGAUGUAACGGGGCUAAACCAUGCACCGAAGCUGCGGCAGCGACGCUGAUGCGUUGUUGGGUAGGGGAGCGUUCUGUAAGCCUGCGAAGGUGUGCUGUGAGGCAUGCUGGAGGUAUCAGAAGUGCGAAUGCUGACAUAAGUAACGAUAAAGCGGGUGAAAAGCCCGCUCGCCGGAAGACCAAGGGUUCCUGUCCAACGUUAAUCGGGGCAGGGUGAGUCGACCCCUA